AUACGGAGGGUGCGAGCGUUAAUCGGAAUUACUGGGCGUAAAGCGUACGUAGGCGGUUUGUUAAGUCAGAUGUGAAAGCCCCGGGCUUAACUUGGGAACUGCAUUUGAAACUGGGUAACUAGAGUUUAGUAGAGGGGAGUGGAAUUUCAGGUGUAGCGGUGAAAUGCGUAGAGAUCUGAAGGAACACCAGUGGCGAAGGCGACUCCCUGGACUAAAACUGACGCUGAGGUACGAAAGCGUGGGUAGCAAACAGGAUUAGAAACCCCAGUAGUCC
RNAcentral lists this ribosomal RNA (274 nucleotides) under uncultured bacterium. RNAcentral describes it as "partial 16S ribosomal RNA". It matches the Rfam family "Bacterial small subunit ribosomal RNA", at positions 523 to 796 of the family's 1533-position model. The record is from RNAcentral.